CUUCGGGGUGAGUGGCAGACGGGUGAGUAACGCGUGGGAACGUGCCCUUCAGUUCGGAAUAACCCAGGGAAACUUGGGCUAAUACCGGAUACGUGCGAGAGCAGAAAGAUUUAUCGCUGAAGGAUCGGCCCGCGUCUGAUUAGCUAGUUGGUGAGGUAAUGGCUCACCAAGGCGACGAUCAGUAGCUGGUCUGAGAGGAUGAUCAGCCACAUUGGGACUGAGACACGGCCCAAACUCCUACGGGAGGCAGCAGUGGGGAAUAUUGGACAAUGGGCGCAAGCCUGAUCCAGCCAUGCCGCGUGAGUGAUGAAGGCCUUAGGGUUGUAAAGCUCUUUCGGCGGGGACGAUAAUGACGGUACCCGCAGAAGAAGCCCCGGCUAACUUCGUGCCAGCAGCCGCGGUAAUACGAAGGGGGCUAGCGUUGUUCGGAAUCACUGGGCGUAAAGGGCGCGUAGGCGGCUUUAUAAGUCGGGGGUGAAAGCCUGUGGCUCAACCACAGAAUUGCCUUCGAUACUGUAUGGCUUGAGACCGGAAGAGGUAAGUGGAACUGCGAGUGUAGAGGUGAAAUUCGUAGAUAUUCGCAAGAACACCAGUGGCGAAGGCGGCUUACUGGUCCGGUUCUGACGCUGAGGCGCGAAAGCGUGGGGAGCAAACAGGAUUAGAUACCCUGGUAGUCCACGCCGUAAACGAUGAAUGCCAGCCGUUGGGCAGCUUGCUGCUCAGUGGCGCAGCU
This 733-nucleotide ribosomal RNA is filed under the name Microvirga sp. RNAcentral's name for it is "bacterial SSU rRNA". It matches the Rfam family "Bacterial small subunit ribosomal RNA", at positions 84 to 853 of the family's 1533-position model. Lineage: Bacteria; Pseudomonadati; Pseudomonadota; Alphaproteobacteria; Hyphomicrobiales; Methylobacteriaceae. The record is from RNAcentral.